AACGAACGCUGGCGGCGCGCCUAACACAUGCAAGUCGAACGAGAAGGCGUAGCAAUACGCUUGUAAAGUGGCGAACGGGUGAGGAAUACGUGGGUAACCUACCCUCGAGUGGGGAAUAACCAACCGAAAGGUUGGCUAAUGCCGCGUACGCUUCCAUCUUUUCGGAGGUGGAAGGAAAGCUGUACCGUGGGUACAGCGCUCAAGGAUGGGCUCACGUCCUAUCAGCUUGUUGGUAGGGUAACGGCCACCAAGGCAACGACGGGUAGCUGGUCUGAGAGGACGAUCAGCCACACUGGCACUGCGACACGGGCCAGACUCCUACGGGAGGCAGCAGUGAGGAAUAUUGCGCAAUGGGCGAAAGCCUGACGCAGCGACGCCGCGUGGGGGAUGAAGGUCUUCGGAUUGUAAA
This 409-nucleotide ribosomal RNA is filed under the name uncultured bacterium. RNAcentral describes it as "bacterial SSU rRNA". It matches the Rfam family "Bacterial small subunit ribosomal RNA", at positions 29 to 429 of the family's 1533-position model. The record is from RNAcentral.